AAUAAAUGAGUAUAGAGAAAAGAUAAACCUAAUCAACCCCAGUCAUUUUAACUACGGCUGGACUCCAUAAUGCUAUACGAAUCGCCAUUUCAAAAUUAUCCAUCCGUUAUGUCGAUAGCUUUGCCCAAAAAAUAUACAUUCAUUGCUAUCUUCAAAACUCACCCAUUUCCUCUUCAUCAUCUUCUAGUCCGGUCUUCUUACCCAGCGUCCUUCCGGAAACUAGUCAUGCAGAUUCGGGCCUACUUGAACCAGAUGGAACAUUAUUGUGAAGGACCGUCUUCGAGGCCAGAAAUUCGUCCCUGAGACCCCAAACCACUACCCCGGACACAGAUCUAGAAGUUCCCUUGUCAAACGCAGCGUCAAAGUGCAUCUUAACCUUUGAUUAGCCAUAAGGCAUAACAGAAAAGUCGACUCUGCUCCUCGGACCCUUGCAUGAAUACCCAGGGCAUUUUCUGAAUACGUGAGAGCAAUCUUCAUCCCCCGAAUAACAACGGAGGCAAUGAGCGUACAUGAGCGUACGUGAGCACCCUUUUACACCUAAGGUUUGCAAGCGUGGGCAUGUAAUUCCAGGAGAUAUGCUAGAUUGUAAUUGUAACUUUUGUGAGAAGUUGUAGGCUCUAGAGUUUGUUGUAAAAUUUUUUAGAUUCGGUCUGUAUUAAAUUACUACUAGGAUCUAGUAAAGAGUCCUGUAAUAGUUUAUAAGCACUACGUACGGAGAAUUCCCUAGACUGUUCUCCCUUCCAAACUUAAAAGUUUGCAUGACCUGUUUCUGCAAGGGGGAUCUACAAUAUUUUUUGAGCAACCUCGUCAUGAAAGCACAGUCCACCUUGAAGAAGUCCCUUCAACGCUCAAAUGCUCUUCCAGGUAAGGGAAGGUAGAUUCCCUAACCUAGCUUCAAGAAAAUUAGACUGUGGAUAAUAAUUUUCCUUUAAAACCUUUGCUAAUAAUGAGUUAGGAUAGAUUGUCAAUUGCCAACCUUGUUUAGCUAAUAGCGCGAUAUUAAAUUGACUUAAAUUUUGAAACCCUAAACCCCUAUUUUCCUUUAAACUGCAAAGAUUUUUCCUAGUGCACCAAUGAAUACCCUUUUUCCUCUUUCCUUCUGCCACUAAAAUUUUGCAAUAAUACUCUCAAUAUCAUCACAUAGAGUUCUCGGCAAUAGGAAAGAGGCCAUCGUGUAAGUUGGAAUCACCUAAAGGAUGGCUUUAAUAAAGACUUUUUUUUCUCCUUGAGAUAGGUAAUUAUUACUCUAGAUGACAAUAUGCAAUUUAAUACGAUCCUUUAAAUUUUGAAAAGACUCCUUCUUCCUCCUACCCACCAUAUUUGGCAAACCAAGGUAGCGUUCCGGUUCCUCCAAGCAUCGAACUGCCAAUAGACUAGCAACUGUUUAUCCACUGCUGAAGUAUUUUUACUAAAGAAAAUAGUGGACUUUUCAAAAUUAACCUGCUGACCCAAACAAGAUCUGUAGUAGCUUAAAAUUACUUUUAACAGAUUUGCACCCCUAAUUGUGGCAUCCCCAAAUAGAAUACAAUCAUCUACAAAUAACAAAUGCGAUACCGUUGGCCCACUCCUGCUGGUCUUCACCCAUUUUAAACUUCAUUCUUGCAUCGCUAGUCUCAUCAAACUCGAUAGACCCUCUCCAUUCUCUCCUUAAUAAAUCCAUUAAUGACAACUAAAUAAGAAACAGAUGUGAUGCAUUUCAUAACCCCUUCAACCCAUUUUGUAGCAAACCCCAUUUGAAUCAUUAUUGCCCUUAAGAAGUUCCAUUCAACCCUAUUAUACGCUCUACUCAUGUCUAACUUCAUCGCCAUUAAUCCUUUCUUUCCCUACCUUUUGUGCUUAAGCUUAUUAAGGAUUUCAUAUGCUAUCAACACAUUAUUCGAGAUUAAUCGUCCUGGCAUAAAGGCACUUUGCACUUCAUCAAUACAUUUUCCAAUCACUCUUCGGAAACGGUUUGCAAUCACCUUCACCAAUAUUUUGUAUAAAACAUUAUAUAGACUAAUUAGACGAAAAUGCGACAUAUUCAUUGGAUUAGAGUUUUUCGGAAUAAGCACAAUAUUAGUGGAAUUUAACGAACUGACCUCCAUAUCUCCAUUAAGUAUCUGUAGGCAAAAAGAGCCAGCCUCAUCUCCAAUAAUGUGCCAGCAUUUCUGGUAAAACAAGGCUGGGAACCCAUCCUCCCCUAGAGCUUUAGUUACCCCAUCUCAAAUACCACUUCUUGAAUUUCUUCACUGGUGUACUUUACUGUCAGUUUUUCAUUAUCUCCUUCAGAUACACAACGGUUAAUACCAGACAGCACAUAAUCAUAAUUUCCUCUAUCUCCAGCCGUAAAUAAGUUAUGAAAAUAAGACGAAGCAACAGCUUAUAUUUCAUACAAAACCUCAGUUUCCCUGCCUUCAUCAUUCUUUGGGCAGUUGUAUUAUGAAAAAAAGCUGUAUUUUUAUCCUCAAAUUUCAGCCAAUUGAGUCUAGCCCUUUGCUCCUAAUAGCGUUUAUUUUUUCUAUUUCGAAAUUCAGAUGAAUUCUCAUAUCAAUUAUUUCCGCCAUAUUUCUCUCAUCUCUAUCAUUACUCAGCAAUUCAGUCAGUUUAUCGGUAAGAAUCUGUCUUUUUCUCCUUCGACUCACUCGAAUAUUCCCUACCCAAUGACUCAAACCUUUCUUCAGAUUUUCUAACUUUAAAAGCAGUGUUCCUGAAGAUGACUCCCUUAAACGUUUGACUUCUUCAAAGAAAGUAUCUUCUAACACCCACCAAGCUUCAAAUUUGAAAGAAAUACUUAUUGGUUGUUCGUCGUCUUUCUUCGUAUUAAUCAAGAGUGAGCAAUGAUCUGAAAAAGUAUGCACUAAAUGUUAAACUUUGACCUCCGGGAACAUGGAAAUCCAUCUACCCGUAGCAACUCCUCUGUCCAACCUUUCUUGAAUAUUUGUCUCCAGCAGAUUACCUCUCUCCCACGUAAACCAAGUGCCAGAAUACCCUACAUCAAUCAAUUGGCAGACUUCCAAGGUUCUUCGAAACGACUCCAUUCUUCCCUCAUCUCUUAGCAAUCCUCCUUUUUUUUUAAACCCAUACAUGAUUUCAUUAAAGUCUCCACAUACAAACCAAGGAAUAUUCUCUACUGUUAUCAAACUUUUCAACACCUUCCAAGCUUCAUUCCUAUCUUGUGCAUAGGGGGAGCUCUAAAAAUUAGUGUAUGUCCACUUUACACUAGCCUCAUUGUCAUCAACAAAUACAUCAAUAUACCUCUUGGAAAAUGUUCGAAGUGUUAUGUUAACAUCCACUUUCCAUGCCAAACAUAAACCUCCUCUAGUGCCUUCAGCGUCGACCUCAAUACCGUUUUGGAAACCACAACUUCGUCGUAUUCGUUUCAUUUGCUUUCCACGUAGCUUCGUCUCUAUAAAGAAGACAAUUUGGGGAUUGUAACUUCAGCAUAUGUCGAAGUCGUCGAAACGUUCGUGGCCUCCCAAACUACGAACAUUCCAACUCAAUAUUUUUAUUGCGACCGGUAGGCUUGCCUUUUGGCAGCCGGCUAUAAUAAAUGAUUAGAAUCCACCCCUCUCCUAGUCCUUGUCGUAAGAGCUUCAUACCCUUCUUUACUGGAUGACUCUUUUAUCACUCCUCUACUUCUCUUUUUCUCUUCCUCUCUGAUGAUGACACCAUCUUUAAGAUCAUACUCCAUGGCAGUUUGUGAUUGAUACAUCCAUACAUUCCUCAUUGACUGAUCUAACGAUGGCAUAUUCCCUUCGAAAUUAAAACCCAGAAUUGCAUCAAUGUUCAUCCCACCUCUUCCAACAGUUACCUUUUCCUGUAAUCGGUUUCCCAAUACUCGACUUCCAUUCUGUUAUCCUCCACUAUUGCCCUCGCCUUCCUCUCUAAGCUGGAUACUAGUCAUUGAUAGUGCUCUACGGGGUUGGGCUUUCAAUGAUAAAUCCCACCCCAUAUCAGCAACCUCCACCCCAAGCAUCAUUUUAGCCUCACAAAAAGAAUCACUGUCCCAACCGACCAUAAUAAAAAUAGAAAAGGGAUAGAAGUUCAUAUUUGAACCUGACAUAGGAGUAUCUUCCAUUAAACAUCACCUGCUUCUUCCUUUUCAACGGACGUCUGAUGUCUAAUUUAGCUCUAAUUCUCAUAUAAUUGUAAUUUUCUUUCCCUCUACUUGAUCCAUCAUAUUCUAGGAAUUCUCCUAAAAAAUUCCCCAACUUUACUGCUAAGUUUUCAGAAAACAAGCCAAUAGGGACAUCAUGAAUUUGAACCCAAAAAUGGGUAUAAAUUAAUGGAACUUUCAAUGGAUCUCCCUCUUGUUGUAGAUGUGACAGAAUCAAUAAAUGAUUAUUAAAGGUCCAUGGUGAUCCUUUUAAAACCUUUUCCAAACCCAUAAUGUGAAAAAACUGAAAUAAAUACAUUUUUUCUCCCAAAUCCCGAAUUUGAACACCCCGUACAGGAUGCCAUAGAUUAGCCAUCGUACUUUUCAUAGCUGGGAAGUGAAUUAAACUGGCUGUUAAGAAGCAGCCUACCAGUUGAAACUCUCUAUCCCUUGCUGCAAGUGGAUCUGUAGGAAUCUGUAAGAUUUCAUUUUCCUCAUCGUUAAGAAACAAAACCACUAAUUCAUUCUCCAUCCCUGCAGGUCACGAAACCAAGCAUAAUGAUAAAUUCCUGACGAAUAGUAGAUUGAUGCCGUACUGUGUACUCCGGACAGUACUGGACAGAAAAAAAAAUAAAACACCAGUUGAAAAACCUAAAAACGCAUACCAGGGGCGGCAGACAAAAAGCGUGCUAGGGUAAUAGACUUUUUCACCCAACGCGAUAAAAUAAGUUUAUAAAUUUAAAUUAAAAAUAAUUUAAAUGUAAAUUUAUUGUGUUACAUGUGUAAGAAUACUAACAUGCCAAAUGUCAUAAAAUUACAGAUUAUUCAAAUA
RNA transcript from Gossypium arboreum, 4907 nucleotides. RefSeq lists it as uncharacterized. The transcript has 5 exons. The record is from RefSeq and is a predicted model, not a curated record. Lineage: Eukaryota; Viridiplantae; Streptophyta; Magnoliopsida; Malvales; Malvaceae.